UACGUAGGGUGCAAGCGUUAUCCGGAAUUAUUGGGCGUAAAGAGCUCGUAGGCGGUUUGUCGCGUCUGCUGUGAAAACCGGAGGCUCAACCUCCGGCCUGCAGUGGGUACGGGCAAACUAGAGUGCGGUAGGGGAGAUUGGAAUUCCUGGUGUAGCGGUGGAAUGCGCAGAUAUCAGGAGGAACACCGAUGGCGAAGGCAGAUCUCUGGGCCGUAACUGACGCUGAGGAGCGAAAGCGUGGGGAGCGAUCCGG
RNAcentral lists this ribosomal RNA (253 nucleotides) under uncultured bacterium. RNAcentral's name for it is "partial 16S ribosomal RNA". It matches the Rfam family "Bacterial small subunit ribosomal RNA", at positions 524 to 776 of the family's 1533-position model. The record is from RNAcentral.